This 293-nucleotide ribosomal RNA is filed under the name uncultured eukaryote. RNAcentral describes it as "partial 18S ribosomal RNA". It matches the Rfam family "Eukaryotic small subunit ribosomal RNA", at positions 6 to 319 of the family's 1831-position model. The record is from RNAcentral.
GGUUGAUCCUGCCAGUAGUCAUAUGCUUGUCUCAAAGAUUAAGCCAUGCAUGUCUAAGUAUAAGCAAUUGUACGGUGAAACUGCGAAUGGCUCAUUAAAUCAGUUAUCGUUUAUUUGAUAGUACCUUACUACUUGGAUAUCCGUGGUAAUUCUAGAGCUAAUACAUGCUUACAGCCCCGACUUCUGGAAGGGGCGAGUUUAUUAGAUAAAAAGCCGACGUUGUUGGUGAUUCAUGAUAACCUUUCGAAUCGCGAGUAAUCGCGAUGGUUCAUUCAAAUUUCUGCCCUAUCAAU